GGGGGGGGGGGGGCUAGGAUGAAAAAUUGUGUCCUGCCUUUUUUUUUAGUUGUAAUCUCUGUCCUGCCUUUUUAUUUUUCAGUCCAUUCGGUCCUGCCUUUUUUUUCUUAGCUUAUCCUGACUUUUUUACAACAAUUGUCAUCCUGCUUUUUUUUUUGCCAAGUUACUCAUCCUGCCUUUUUUUUUUUUACUCAAAAUCCUGUCCUGCCUUUUUUUCAAAUUUCAAUCC
Molecule: long non-coding RNA, 229 nt
Filed under: Mytilus galloprovincialis (Mediterranean mussel)
Lineage: Eukaryota; Metazoa; Mollusca; Bivalvia; Mytilida; Mytilidae
Source: RNAcentral